Long non-coding RNA from Bos taurus (domestic cattle), 455 nucleotides. The record is from Ensembl. Lineage: Eukaryota; Metazoa; Chordata; Mammalia; Artiodactyla; Bovidae.
UUUCUAUUCAGGGGAAAAGAGAGGGUUUUUCUGGUGGCUCAGAUGGUAAAGAAUUUGCCUUCAAUGCAGGAAACCUGGGUUCAAUCUCCAGAUUGGGAAGAUCCCCUGGAGAAGGGAGGGGAAAGAGAAACUUCUACAGCUGGAUGAAGCUGUGGAUAUGUUCUAGAUUCUGGGCCAUCCUGACUCCCUGAGCAGCCCAAAUAGUUAUUUGGUAGGUAGACAGGCUGUGAGGGGAGGUGGAGAGGUCCAUACAUAACGAAGAAAAAUGGAAUUAAGAACUAGAAGUCUCCUUCAUUGGGGCCACUGGAGUGAAUCAAGAAAACAUCCAAAAAUCCUCGGCUCCUCUGUCCAUGGAUUUCUCCAGGCAAGAAUACCAGAGUGGGUUGCCAUUUCCUUCUCCAGGGGAUCUUCGCAACCCAGGGAUUGAACCUGUGUCUUCUGCAUCUCCCACAUUG